GCAGUAGCCGCGGGAAUACGUAGGUGGCAAGCGUUGUCCGGAAUUAUUGGGCGUAAAGGGCUCGCAGGCGGUUUCUUAAGUCUGAUGUGAAAGCCCCCGGCUCAACCGGGGAGGGUCAUUGGAAACUGGGAAACUUGAGUGCAGAAGAGGAGAGUGGAAUUCCACAUGUAGCGGUGAAAUGCGUAGAGAUGUGGAGGAACACCAGUGGCGAAGGCGACUCUCUGGUCUGUAACUGACGCUGAGGAGCGAAAGCGUGGGGAGCGAACAGGAUUAGAUACCCCAGUAGUCCCUGUCUCUUAUAC
RNAcentral lists this ribosomal RNA (302 nucleotides) under uncultured bacterium. Its description in RNAcentral is "partial 16S ribosomal RNA". It matches the Rfam family "Bacterial small subunit ribosomal RNA", at positions 508 to 807 of the family's 1533-position model. The record is from RNAcentral.